AAGUCGUAACAAGGUUUCCGUAGGUGAACCUGCGGAAGGAUCAUUACAGAGAAAUUGCCCUCCGGGGUAGAUCUUCCCACCCUUUGUUUAUAUUACCUUUGUUGCUUUGGCAGGCCCGUCUUAUGACCACUGGCCUAGGCUGGUCCGCGCCUGCCAGAGGACCCUAAACUCUUGAUUUUUAUAUUGUCCGAGUCACAAACAAAUAAGUUAAAACUUUCAACAACGGAUCUCUUGGUUCUG
Molecule: unclassified non-coding RNA, 240 nt
Filed under: Helotiales sp.
Lineage: Eukaryota; Fungi; Ascomycota; Leotiomycetes; Helotiales
Description: partial contains small subunit ribosomal RNA, internal transcribed spacer 1, and 5.8S ribosomal RNA
Rfam family: Eukaryotic small subunit ribosomal RNA (bases 1-46)
Source: RNAcentral